This 288-nucleotide ribosomal RNA is filed under the name uncultured bacterium. Its description in RNAcentral is "partial 16S ribosomal RNA". It matches the Rfam family "Bacterial small subunit ribosomal RNA", at positions 32 to 295 of the family's 1533-position model. The record is from RNAcentral.
AAUCAACGCUGGCGGCGUGCCUAACACAUGCAAGUCGAGCGCGAAUUGGGGGGCGAACUCCCACUAGUAGAGCGGCAAACGGGUAGAGUAACGCGUGGGUGAUCUACCUUCGAGUGGGGAACGAACAUCGGGAAACGUAGGUGCUAAUACCGCAUGACAUCCUCGGAUCAAUCUGGGGAGUCAAAGACUGGGGACCGGCAAGGCCUGGCGCUUGAAGACGAGCCCGCGUCCGAUUAGCUAGUCGGCGGGGUAAUGGCCCACCAAGGCUUCGAUCGGUAGCCGGCCUGA